AAGAGGAGCCGCGUCAGAUUAGGUAGUUGGUGGGGUAAAGGCGUACCAGGCCUGUGAUCUGUAGCUGGUCUGAGAGGAUGAUCAGCCACACUGGGACUGAGACACGGCCCAGACUCCUACGGGAGGCAGCAGUGGGGAAUAUUGGACAAUGGGCGGAAGCCUGAUCCAGCCAUGCCGCGUGUGUGAAGAAGGCCUUUUGGUUGUAAAGCACUUUAAGCGAGGAGGAGGCUACUAGUACUAAUACUACUGGAUAGUGGACGUUACUCGCAGAAUAAGCACCGGCUAACUCUGUGC
RNAcentral lists this ribosomal RNA (294 nucleotides) under uncultured Acinetobacter sp. Its description in RNAcentral is "partial 16S ribosomal RNA". It matches the Rfam family "Bacterial small subunit ribosomal RNA", at positions 222 to 508 of the family's 1533-position model. The record is from RNAcentral. Lineage: Bacteria; Pseudomonadati; Pseudomonadota; Gammaproteobacteria; Moraxellales; Moraxellaceae.